GAUGAACGCUGGCGGCGUGCCUAAUACAUGCAAGUCGAGCGAACAGACGAGGAGCUUGCUCCUCUGACGUUAGCGGCGGACGGGUGAGUAACACGUGGAUAACCUACCUAUAAGACUGGGAUAACUUCGGGAAACCGGAGCUAAUACCGGAUAAUAUAUUGAACCGCAUGGUUCAAUAGUGAAAGACGGUUUUGCUGUCACUUAUAGAUGGAUCCGCGCCGCAUUAGCUAGUUGGUAAGGUAACAGCUUACCAAGGCAACGAUGCGUAGCCGACCUGAGAGGGUGAUCGGCCACACUGGAACUGAGACACGGUCCAGACUCCUACGGGAGGCAGCAGUAGGGAAUCUUCCGCAAUGGGCGAAAGCCUGACGGAGCAACGCCGCGUGAGUGAUGAAGGUCUUCGGAUCGUAAAACUCUGCUAUUAGGGAAGAACAAAUGUGUAAGUAACUAUGCACGUCUUGACGGUACCUAAUCAGAAAGCCACGGCUAACUACGUG
Molecule: ribosomal RNA, 497 nt
Filed under: uncultured bacterium
Lineage: Bacteria
Description: partial 16S ribosomal RNA
Rfam family: Bacterial small subunit ribosomal RNA
Source: RNAcentral